This 206-nucleotide ribosomal RNA is filed under the name uncultured bacterium. RNAcentral's name for it is "partial 16S ribosomal RNA". It matches the Rfam family "Bacterial small subunit ribosomal RNA", at positions 568 to 774 of the family's 1533-position model. The record is from RNAcentral.
AGCGCAGGCGGGAAGACAAGUUGGAAGUGAAAUCUAUGGGCUCAACCCAUAAACUGCUUUCAAAACUGUUUUUCUUGAGUAGUGCAGAGGUAGGCGGAAUUCCCGGUGUAGCGGUGGAAUGCGUAGAUAUCGGGAGGAACACCAGUGGCGAAGGCGGCCUACUGGGCACCACUGACGCUGAGGCUCGAAAGUGUGGGUAGCAAACA